RNAcentral lists this ribosomal RNA (255 nucleotides) under uncultured bacterium. RNAcentral describes it as "partial 16S ribosomal RNA". It matches the Rfam family "Bacterial small subunit ribosomal RNA", at positions 524 to 778 of the family's 1533-position model. The record is from RNAcentral.
UACAGAGGUCUCAAGCGUUGUUCGGAUUCAUUGGGCGAAAGGGUGCGUAGGCGGCCCGCUAAGUCGAACGUGAAAUCCCCGAGCUCAACUCGGGAACUGCGUCCGAUACUGGCGGGCUUGAAUCCGGGAGAGGGAUGCGGAAUUCCAGGUGUAGCGGUGAAAUGCGUAGAUAUCUGGAGGAACACCGGUGGCGAAGGCGGCAUCCUGGACCGGCAUUGACGCUGAGGCGCGAAAAGUAGGGGGAGCAAAACGGGG